RNAcentral lists this ribosomal RNA (838 nucleotides) under Arthrobacter agilis. RNAcentral describes it as "bacterial SSU rRNA". It matches the Rfam family "Bacterial small subunit ribosomal RNA", at positions 132 to 968 of the family's 1533-position model. Lineage: Bacteria; Bacillati; Actinomycetota; Actinomycetes; Micrococcales; Micrococcaceae. The record is from RNAcentral.
UUGACUCUGGGAUAAGCCCUGGGAAACCGGGUCUAAUACUGGAUAUGACCUUCUGGCGCAUGCCAUGUUGGUGGAAAGCUUUUGUGGUUUUGGAUGGACUCGCGGCCUAUCAGCUUGUUGGUGGGGUAAUGGCUUACCAAGGCGACGACGGGUAGCCGGCCUGAGAGGGUGACCGGCCACACUGGGACUGAGACACGGCCCAGACUCCUACGGGAGGCAGCAGUGGGGAAUAUUGCACAAUGGGCGCAAGCCUGAUGCAGCGACGCCGCGUGAGGGAUGAAGGCCUUCGGGUUGUAAACCUCUUUCAGUAGGGAAGAAGCUGGUCCUUGGGGGUUGGUGACGGUACCUGCAGAAGAAGCGCCGGCUAACUACGUGCCAGCAGCCGCGGUAAUACGUAGGGCGCAAGCGUUAUCCGGAAUUAUUGGGCGUAAAGAGCUCGUAGGCGGUUUGUCGCGUCUGCCGUGAAAGUCCGGGGCUUAACUCCGGAUCUGCGGUGGGUACGGGCAGACUAGAGUGCAGUAGGGGAGACUGGAAUUCCUGGUGUAGCGGUGAAAUGCGCAGAUAUCAGGAGGAACACCGAUGGCGAAGGCAGGUCUCUGGGCUGUAACUGACGCUGAGGAGCGAAAGCAUGGGGAGCGAACAGGAUUAGAUACCCUGGUAGUCCAUGCCGUAAACGUUGGGCACUAGGUGUGGGGGACAUUCCACGUUUUCCGCGCCGUAGCUAACGCAUUAAGUGCCCCGCCUGGGGAGUACGGCCGCAAGGCUAAAACUCAAAGGAAUUGACGGGGGCCCGCACAAGCGGCGGAGCAUGCGGAUUAAUUCGAUGCAACGCGAAGAA